GUUAUCAUAUUUAAUACCUCUAUCAUGAAGAUGCUGACUGCGUUUCUGCAUGUGUGUCUCAUCAUUGCUGUGACACAAAGUCAUCCUCUUUUUGAGGAAAUUGGGUCAGGUGACUCAAGUAAUGCAGGUGUUGGUUCGCCAGGAGCAACGGGAGACCCACCAUUUGCAACAGAUGUUCCAGAUGAAACAACAACUGUGAUAGCUGACUCAACUACUCAAGAGAGAAUCUAUUAUGACUCAGAGGAAGAUCUAGGAUUUCUGAGAGACAAACCAACUGUGAUAGCUGACUCAACUAAUGAUGAUGGAUACUUUUAUGACUCAGAUGAAGAACUAGGACAUCCGAGAGUUUGGAGAGGCAGGUCUGAUGAUUCAUCUAAUGGAGAUGGAGAAAAUUCUGACACAUCGGAAGAUGCACCAGAUGCAGCAGAGGAAACAGGCGGGUCUGAUGAUUCAUCUAAUGGAGGUGGAGAAAGUUCUGACACAUCAGAAGAUGCACCAGAUGCAGCAGAGGAAACAGGCGGGUCUGAUGAUUCAUCUAAUGGAGGUGGAGAAAGUUCUGACACAUCAGAAGAUGCCCCAGUUGCAGCAGGUUUGUAUAUUUAUUGGAAUGCAUCUUAUCUCAGCCUUACUUUUGUUUUACUAUUCCAAAAACUGUAA
This 657-nucleotide long non-coding RNA is filed under the name Oreochromis niloticus (Nile tilapia). Its description in RNAcentral is "lncRNA (ENSONIG00000009618.2)". The record is from RNAcentral. Lineage: Eukaryota; Metazoa; Chordata; Actinopteri; Cichliformes; Cichlidae.